Molecule: long non-coding RNA, 394 nt
Organism: Eleginops maclovinus (Patagonian blennie)
Lineage: Eukaryota; Metazoa; Chordata; Actinopteri; Perciformes; Eleginopidae
Exons: 4
Source: RefSeq, a predicted model, not a curated record
GUUUCAGACCCAACAGGAACUCCACAGGACUCCAGUCAUCCAGCCUUCACAGACCAUACACACAUAGCUGGUCCAGUCACUGAACAGUACAACCCAUCUGGUCAGGGUCCUGAAGGUGCAGAAAAUGUGGAACUGGAGGAUACCUGCUGACUUCCACAUCAAGCCGCGAGUUCGAUUCCUGCGCUACCGAUUCCAAUGUACCGACCAAUCAGCAUGGCCCAGGAAAUCAGACCCCUCCCAAUAGGUGUAGGCCCCGCCCUCUGUGGACCAGUGGCUCGUUGGUGAUUUUGUAUUUAAGUUUUGUUCAUAGAUGUUCAUGUUGCGUUAGAAAGAGAUAAGAGUUUGGUACCUAAUGACGUCAAACAGGAUGUGACAUCAUCUUCAACGUCAGCAA